CAGCAGCCGCCGCGGGAAUACGGAGGGGGCUAGCGUUGUUCGGAAUUACUGGGCGUAAAGCGUACGUAGGCGGUUUUGUAAGUUAGAGGUGAAAGCCCGGAGCUCAACUCCGGAAUUGCCUUUAAGACUGCAUCACUUGAACGUCGGAGAGGUGAGUGGAAUUCCGAGUGUAGAGGUGAAAUUCGUAGGCAUUCGGAAGAACACCAGUGGCGAAGGCGGCUCACUGGACGACUGUUGACGCUCAUGCACGAAAGCGUGGGGAGCAAACGGGAUUAGAUACCCGUGUAGUCCCUGUCUCUUAUAC
Molecule: ribosomal RNA, 304 nt
Filed under: uncultured bacterium
Lineage: Bacteria
Description: partial 16S ribosomal RNA
Rfam family: Bacterial small subunit ribosomal RNA
Source: RNAcentral